Molecule: ribosomal RNA, 441 nt
Filed under: uncultured bacterium
Lineage: Bacteria
Description: partial 16S ribosomal RNA
Rfam family: Bacterial small subunit ribosomal RNA
Source: RNAcentral
CCUACGGGUGGCAGCAGUGGGGGAUAUUGCACAAUGGGGGGAACCCUGAUGCAGCGACGCCGCGUGGGUGAAGGAGUGCUUCGGCAUGUAAAGCCCUAUCGGCAGGGAAGAAGCAAGACGGUACCUGACUAAGAAGCCCCGGCUAACUACGUGCCAGCAGCCGCGGUAAUACGUAGGGGGCGAGCGUUAUCCGGAUUCACUGGGUGUAAAGGGAGCGUAGACGGCCAUGCAAGCCAGGGGUGAAAGCCCGGGGCCCAACCCCGGGACUGCCCUUGGAACUGUGCGGCUAGAGUGCGGGAGGGGCAGGCGGAAUUCCUGGGGGAGCGGGGAAAUGCGGAGAUAUCAGGAGGAACACCGGCGGCGAAGGAGGCCGGCUGGACCGCGACUGACGUUGAGGCUCGAAAGCGUGGGGAGCGAACAGGAUUAGAUACCCUUGUAGUC